CUCCCCCACAUACCGACGCGGGCCCGUGAACACGACUCACGUCUCUCUCUCCACACCACCCUGCUCUUUCUUUGACUUUAUAUCGCUCUAAUGGAUGGAGUGCGGGGAGGCGAUCCGAUGACGCCGGCGGUCGGAUGCUUGGAAACCACUCCGGCGGACGGGGAUAGCCGGAUGACAGAUCCUACCCCGACGCCGGCGAUCCAUUAUUCGCAGGCAGACAGAUCCAUGGUGGAGCAUCGGAGGCGGAUCUAAUGGGGCAUUCAAUCAUCCCAAAUAAUGAGCAUAUCCCAGAUGCGGCGACAGACCCCAAGGCACACACUGGAUUAAUAACGCCUCCGCCACAUUGAGGGGCGUGAAUACAUGUGCAUACGGCCCAGCUCUUAAUCCAGAUGUACCUACCGAUGAUUCUGAAAACAUUAUAGUUGUGCCUGGAUGGAAGAAAAGGUAAUUAUCCGUUGGCACAAGACAAAAUUACUACUUUUAUUGUCUAUUUGUAUGAAUCGGCAUGAAGAUUUACAGGUGUUAAAGAAGUCUGUCCUGAACAUUUUAAGUCUGUCCUGGACAUUUUUCUCUACCCCAUUCGUUCCAUAUUAAAGGAUUGUUUUUUAAUACCACGUUAGUGUUUCAGAAAUGGAUGUUAAUGUUCGUGAAAAAUUUAUUAUUUAUUAACAAUGUACAGUUAGUACUUAGUAGAGAUAUAUUAAUGUCUGCAACACUAGUUCAUGCUGUCUGUGUGAAAAUCACAAUGCGUGCAUUGUUUCCCAACUGUCCCAAGGAGAUAUUCACAGAAUCUGGAGCAUGUAUGCAUCUGUAAGACUCCAGUAAGUACGAAUACACGUGGACGUAUAAGAUAUGGUGUAUAUCUGCCUCCCUUGCGGUGAUGAAUUUUUUUUCGUGGAUGUUGAGAGGGAUGGCAUAAAGCAAACCCCACUUCCUUAUAUAGGUAAGAGUAACCCAUCGAAUCAGCAGCGAGUCUGUUAUCCCGAGAUGAGACAGAUGAUCAGACGUGAUUUCACCCCUUUGGAAGAUAUAUGUUGCCUUUUUGUACACAAGAUGACUGCUGUUGACAUUAGAGACGGCUACAUGAGAAUUCCGAAGAAGGACGUUGAUCUUAUUUAAAGCAAAACGAGUCACAUGGGUGACUCAAGGCGUAUUCUGCUGCAUGACGAUACAGGAGCCCAUGUAGGGGCUUCAUACAAAAAGGCAAACGAUGGCAGGCUCGUCAUGCAAGGAGGUUUCCGGAAGUAUGUCGAUCAGCUUGAGCUGAAGGAAGACGAUCUUGUGGUCAGCACGUUUCACAGCGCGCUGGGUCUCCACAACAGUACGGAUUUACAUCCUAUCUUAAAAUCUUAGUUUAUGUCUCCUAGAUGAGCGUGGCAAUGACUAUGUAUACAUAGAUGCCAUUUUACACGUGGGUGCAACUCCUCCAUGCAUGCUCUUUUGUGUACGUCGACAAUUUUUGAUUUGUAGCUCUUUCAGUGUGGUACGUGACUAUGUGCAAGUUUCAUCUACCAAUGGUCAUCUGAUGUGUUUUGAAUAUUCUGAUAUAAGCUUGUUUAGCUGUUCCAGUGUGUUUUUA
Molecule: long non-coding RNA, 1579 nt
Organism: Aegilops tauschii subsp. strangulata
Lineage: Eukaryota; Viridiplantae; Streptophyta; Magnoliopsida; Poales; Poaceae
Source: RefSeq, a predicted model, not a curated record